Molecule: ribosomal RNA, 452 nt
Filed under: uncultured bacterium
Lineage: Bacteria
Description: bacterial SSU rRNA
Rfam family: Bacterial small subunit ribosomal RNA
Source: RNAcentral
AGCGAACGCUGGCGGCAGGCUUAACACAUGCAAGUCGAACGGGCACCUUCGGGUGUCAGUGGCAGACGGGUGAGUAACACGUGGGAACGUGCCCUUCGGUUCGGAAUAACUCAGGGAAACUUGAGCUAAUACCGGAUACGCCCUUCUGGGGAAAGGUUUACUGCCGAAGGAUCGGCCCGCGUCUGAUUAGCUUGUUGGUGGGGUAACGGCCUACCAAGGCGACGAUCAGUAGCUGGUCUGAGAGGAUGAUCAGCCACACUGGGACUGAGACACGGCCCAGACUCCUACGGGAGGCAGCAGUGGGGAAUAUUGGACAAUGGGCGCAAGCCUGAUCCAGCCAUGCCGCGUGAGUGAUGAAGGCCUUAGGGUUGUAAAGCUCUUUUGUCCGGGACGAUAAUGACGGUACCGGAAGAAUAAGCCCCGGCUAACUUCGUGCCAGCCGCCGCGGUAAU